This 493-nucleotide ribosomal RNA is filed under the name Streptococcus anginosus. RNAcentral's name for it is "bacterial SSU rRNA". It matches the Rfam family "Bacterial small subunit ribosomal RNA", at positions 28 to 497 of the family's 1533-position model. The record is from RNAcentral. Lineage: Bacteria; Bacillati; Bacillota; Bacilli; Lactobacillales; Streptococcaceae.
GACGAACGCGGGCGGCGUGCUUAAUACAUGCAAGUAGGACGCACAGCCUAUACCGUAGCUUGCUACACCAUAGGCUGUGAGUUGCGAACGGGUGAGUAACGCGUAGGUAACCUGCCUAUUAGAGGGGGAUAACUAUUGGAAACGAUAGCUAAUACCGCAUAACAGUAUGUAACACAUGUUAGAUGCUUGAAAGAUGCAAUUGCAUCGCUAGUAGAUGGACCUGCGUUGUAUUAGCUAGUAGGUAGGGUAAUGGCCUACCUAGGCAACGAUACAUAGCCGACCUGAGAGGGUGAUCGGCCACGCUGGGACUGAGACACGGCCCAGACUCCUACGGGAGGCAGCAGUAGGGAAUCUUCGGCAAUGGGGGGAACCCUGACCGAGCAACGCCGCGUGAGUGAAGAAGGUUUUCGGAUCGUAAAGCUCUGUUGUUAAGGAAGAACGAGUGUGAGAAUGGAAAGUUCAUACUGUGACGGACUAACCAGAAAGGACGCAU